CUCCAAGAGCACGUGCACGGGCUCCCCGUGUGCCUGGCGUGCCAGAUUCUUCUCCUGCAGCUCCCGGAUCUCCAGGGUUAAUGCUCCGCUCAGAAGGCUGAGAAGUGCUGCCUCUCCACUUUGUUUAAACAGUGCUGGAGUGAUCCAUCCCUUAAAGGUUUGGUGGAACCUGAGGGGCCAACCUCAGCCUGCAGCUGGCACCUGAAAAGAAGGCCUCAGUGACUCAGAUGAUUGAUCCCAGCAGGGCAGUUUCCGUGGAGCCGACCAUAAGCCUCAGAGAUGCAGACUCCCACGUCCUUGGGGUGGGACUCUCCCUCCCUCCAUCCUGGAUCUUCUUGCUGGUCGAGCCUAGCCCGCCAGAGAGGAGGAUCACAUGUCGGAGUGUAUGUGUCUGUUGUCUGUUUGGGCAGCUGGGUCUCCCCCCGCCCCAGCCUCCGCCGCAGCUCUCUGCUGUUCUGUCCGUGGGGGUCCAGGCGGCCGUGGUACUUCUGCCCACCCUGGUUGCCCUCCGCUGCAGCACCUUGUGUCCCGCGACCAGUAGCCGACCGCCAGGCUCCAGUCUGUGUCUGCCAAGGACGCAUCUUCCCAACACUUCUCUUCCCAGCUCAGCAGAGCCAGGCCUGUCUCCAUGAAGAACCCGAGCCUGGAGCGGAGGAGACUCAUUGGUGUCAGCAGCAGUGCCAGGAGGCAACCCUCGGUCUCUCAGGUGAUGGGGCCUGGCCCCUCUCUGCUGAGUGUGGGACAGAGCACCACGGGCCUCCUGCAGAGCCUGGAGGAGGCUGGGAGCAUCUGAGCUGGUCACGGUCAGUGAUCUGACCAGUGCUGCCCCAGCCCCCUGGGCCAUGAUGUUCCCAACAUCUCCUGACUCAGAAACUGCUUUGAGACGCUCACAACCCACUUUGUGAGUGACCUUCCCAGAAGUGGAACUGAGCAGAAGCUCUCGAGAUCACAUUUGCCUCCUCACACUCACUCUAAUGAAACCCGACACUUAGUAGUGGGGAACAGGACUCAGAAAUGGGGACCCUAGGGCCGGUGGGCCAAAGGGAACAGAGACUGGACAGAUGCACCCAACAUUUCUCUUGCUGGACUCUGUCUUGCCUGACCCAGGGAAUGCCUGGAAUCCAGCAUCCUGACCCUGUCCCAGCCAUGAGCCCUGGGCAAAGGUGCAGGGACCAUGUUCUCUGCAGAGCCAAGCAUGCCCUGACUAGGUGCUCGGGCAAAUGUCUGGUGAACUUGCAGGAAUAAAAGCUGGUUUUCACUCAGUGCUAGAGUGCGCUGUACUUUGUGAUCUUGCAUAGUUCCUAUGAUGGGGAGGUCACUACCUAAUCAAGUUUCAGAUCUUAGUUUGGUUUUCUAGAAGUUGACCCUGAAGCAAGGAUUCAAGCACACCUAGCUUAUUGGGGACGUGACCUGGAAAAUAAUGGUAGAGGG
Molecule: long non-coding RNA, 1431 nt
Organism: Bos taurus (domestic cattle)
Lineage: Eukaryota; Metazoa; Chordata; Mammalia; Artiodactyla; Bovidae
Source: Ensembl